Molecule: transfer RNA, 73 nt
Filed under: bacterium
Lineage: Bacteria
Also listed under: 2 other names
Description: tRNA-Thr
Rfam family: tRNA
About the family: Transfer RNA (tRNA) molecules are approximately 80 nucleotides in length. Their secondary structure includes four short double-helical elements and three loops (D, anti-codon, and T loops).
Source: RNAcentral
GCUGGCGUAGCUCAGUCGGUAGAGCAGCGCACUCGUAAUGCGCAGGUUGUGGGUUCAAGUCCCACCGCCAGCU